AACCAUCUACCCUUAAACACAGAAGAAACUGAAAUCUGUUAAUUAACUUAAUGAUGAAUUCUGGAAGGAGAUCUGAAUAACUAUACAGGAAAAAAAAAUCACAGCGAUUACUAAGGAUACAGUGAGACUUGUCUGUAUGACUAAAUAAAUGUUGCAGCGGGACCCGAAGAGGAGAGCACCCUAAAACGGAGCUGUUACAGAUAAUGUGUUUCAUCUGCUAAAGAUGGCCCCAAAGCUAUUCUCAGUACAGCUCAGCUGCCCAUACAAGUGCCAUCUGAGCAGGACACCCGGAACGCAUGCGUUUUCAAGGAUGCCUGGCAAAUGAGUGUACUCCCUGUCACGUUCCCACGGGCUAGUUACAGGUCUGGAUUUUCCAGGGAAUGGAAUAAGAUGGCUUUAGUGCGUCCCUAUUUUAGUACAGAGUGGCACAGCACAUGUUCUCAUGUCACAAGACACGCUUCUUAUUACAUCACCUCCUCAUUUAAAUGACGGGCUGAAGAUGUUCCUUUUGGCAAUGUGGUUUUGCCUGAUGGCUGGCCUGCUGUACACCUCUGUAUAUGUAUGCCUCUUUUUACACGCCUUCUUAUCAUUAGAUCUGCCUGCUUUCUCCCCUCCUUUUUUGGAGAAUUAACCCAAGUAUGCAGACAGGAGGACUCUCCCUUUUGGGUUCGUAUGUAGUGUGUCUGGCGGAGCUUCUGCAACCUGCCACAUACUGUACAACUGUUUGUGUGGUACUCUUUAAUCUUAGCAGCACUGGUAGGUUGCUCAAACUGGUAGUCAGAUGGUUACACCAGGGCCAUAUUACUAUAUUUCACCAUAUUUUUCUCACUUUUUAAGAGCCAGCUGAAAAGAAGUGCUGGCAGAGGCCCUUCUGACAAUGGCAGCAACAAGGGCUUAAUUUGAUUUAUUCUUUAAAAAAAAAAAAAAGGCAAAACAAACAAACCUCAACAGAAUCGCUCCCUUAACAGUUAUUUCUUUGUCGGAUGCAGCUCCUAAGCCCUCGGACAGAAUUCUUCCUCUUUAUUCUCAUGAACUUGGAUUUCAUUAAUAAACUAGAGUCACAAAGUCAGGGUGACAGAGUUGCUUGAGGACAUAGUGUAUGUCCUUGGAUGAACAUGAUAAAUAUCCAGUAUCAUUUACUCAAUCAAAUCAUAAACAAAUUCUUAGUAAAAUGAUAAAACUUUGUAGACUGAAUCACUGCAUAUUAUCCAGUAUGUAAAUAAAGCCGACCCUUCUGUCUUGGAAAAAUUUCCAGCCUCCAAGUCUGCAAGCUUUGGAGUCUGUACUAAUGUAGGCUCUGUGUUAUGUCUAAAGAAUAAUGGAGAGAAUAAGACAGACACAGUAUAGCUGUGACUAACAACCCCGAUUCAAGUGCAGCUUUAGUAAGAAUACUUUCUUAGUGCAACAAAACCACUCUUCCCCUGCCCCAAAGACUCACUUCAGUGGAACAAGGACGAGUGUGGGUCUCAGCCCCCGGAGAGGGCAGGAGGCUGCAGAGCGUACUGGUGCACAUGCGGCUCUGGCACUACAGAUACGAAGGUGCUGAGGGAGCCGUUGUAUUUGUCCCUUUAGGGCGUGCAAAAUAUUUGCGAGACAACCUGCAGUGAGAGUAAACUACAAACCCACAACUCGGAUUCUGUAAGCCUCAGUAAGUUUUACGAUCUGUAUCACUGAUCCUGGGCCAUGUCUUGAACAAGUCUGGCUGGAUUUACCUAUUUUGGAUUACAUGUUUUACAAUGUGAAGUUUAAAAAGUUGAUAUAUAACCAUCUUUAGCCUUCUGGUUUCAGCUGCCACAAACAGUUUCUAAUACAAAUAUUCUUUUUAUGCAGUGAUGGGGGAAACAUGUAUGCAUGAACCUGGGUCACGCUUUAAACAAAACAAACUUAGAAAAUGGCACCUUUUAUUUUAAGUGUUAUUUCCUGAAGCACAAGGCAGUUCAUGCAGGUUUUCAGUAUAAAGCAAUCUUUGAAUUAAAGCAGCUGCACUGUGCUCCCAAAUGCAUAAUUACCAAAAAAAAAACAACCCUCUUUGUAAUACUUCACCAUAAAAUAUUUAAUUUCCAGCAAAGAUACUGACCCAUGUUCUGAAUCUGCAAGGACUCAUCUUUAUGCACUGUAUUCACACACUCCUUUGAAGUCCAGGGGAUUGCAUUCAGUGUUGAAAGUUUAACACAUCUAAAUCUUGGCAAGGUUAUAAAAUGUUUGAACUGAGUUUUGGGAAGCCCAUGGGACUCUUGAUAAUCGAAUUAAGAUGUAACUUCUUAGUGUUGCAAUGCUCUCUGUAAAGGUGCUAAAGGUGAAAACAAUAAAUAGAUUGAAAUGUAAAGAAAUUAUUUAGGUCAAGGUUGACAGUUGCUUAAUGGGCCUCCAGGGCCCUCCUAAGGCCAAAUAAACUCAAGAGCCAGAAGUCAUUAACACCUCUGAAAGCCAUGAUGUUGUUAGCAGGAGGUGUCAACCCUAUUAAGUCCUUUCUUCUCUCUGUGCUUCUGUACCGAUAACAGGGGAAUAAGAACAUUGAUUUCCUUUGUAGAUCAGCUGAUGAAAAGUGCCAGAUAAGCUAUUAUUAAUUAAUCCCUCAGCUACGUUUGUGAACAACUUCCAUGCAGCCUUUCAGACAGUUUGCAUCCAUUACAUUACAUUAAAACCACUGAUAUGUUUCCUUAUCAUCAAGAAUUAAAAUAUGAGGUUUAGACUGCCAGCACAGUCCUUUGUAUUGAUAUUUUGUAAGAGUUGCUUUCACGCUCUUCACCACAUGAUCUAGUAGCAAUCAAAAGAAAAGUUCAGAGAAUACGACUAUACGACUAUACUAUAUACUAUACGACUAUAACAACAUUUGUUUGUUGUGCUGGAAAACUGAUGUCAAACUCAUAUACAUGUCUUUUAAUUAUACCAAACAGUAAAAACCAUCACACCAGAGCGUGUGUGUGUCCUGCAUCUAGCCUAAGAGUAUUUCAUGAAGGCAUAAAAACAAAGUAGAGAGUCAUUCUGAAGACUACAAGAGAUUGGGUUUCAAGAGUAAUACCUGCUAACAGAAACACUGGCCCUACAGACUGUGUGUCAAAUAUUUACAGGGCUGAGAACCACAGCAUUCAUCCUGCCUUUCUCCGAGGGCUGGAGAAGGGCAGGCAAGGCACCCGCCAGAGGUGGCCCUGGCUGGGGGCAGUUUGGAGCUGCCUCCACAGUGGUCCCACUUUUGGGCUUUGGCUGCCCCAGUUGGGUUAUGCCUCCUCUGCUUGGGACUACAGCUACUCGGCAUCCUUCAGACUGAAAUCCCUCUGUGCGCGUAGGCCUGUUGCAAGUCGGGGGCAUUGCCCAGCAUGGAAAACCCACCUUGUCACUCAUGCGCUGCAGUUUUCUGCCUGUGCUUGUGGGCAUAAUGAGUUAAGGAGAGAUGGUAUAAAUUUAUGAGGAAAGUGUUUAAUAACUGCACAGAACUGGCUGAAAGUUUGCUUCUGCAAGGACUCUGCAGGCAUAUGAAUAAAACUCAACAAGGCAGAGAGGGGAAAAGACAGUGUUUCACCUGAAAAAAAGAUCUGUAUAAACAGCAAAGCUGACAGAGAAGGGCAAAGGUUGAUUUAAAACAAAAUAAGUCACCCUGGACAAAAUUUGCAGAACGUAGACACAAGGAGGGCAGCUGGGAAACGUUUAGCUGGAAGCAGCCAGUGAAAAGACAUGGAACUGGGUUUUAAUUACCCUGUCUGGGAAAAGAUUGUAUAGAGAUUAAGCGAAGGGCAUGUUUGCAGAGAUAAUACAGCUUAAGGGACAGCCAAAAGAUCAGAGGUUGUCCUGGGCUUUACCAGCGCCUUUCACCUGGUGAAGCCACGUCUUGCAGCACUAACUGAAAGCACAAUACUGCCAGAGCAGACGGGCAGGCUCUUACGUUCACUUUGUGCAGGUGCUUUAAACCACUGAGGCAAAGCAAAGGCAUAGAUUGUGAUGAAAGGAUUCAAGAAUGACAAAAACAGUUGAUGUUUUUGGUUAAAAUUAUUAUAACUUAAAGAUCAGCCUACAGAUGCAUCUCCACGCUAUAUUUCAGGUAGUUCUGGGUAUGUCUGCAUGGCAUACCCUGAGAUACAUCAACAAGCUCUUGUCUGUGCUCCACGCCAACCAGAAGCCAUGCGACUGCACUAGCUAAGUGCCAAGCCUUAGCUAAAAAUUCCCCUCGAGAGCAGAGUAUAUUGACUUUGAAUCAGCACCAGGCUAAUGACAUGACUUUCAGUUGGCUGCUUAGGCAGCGUUCAGUUGCGUUCAAUGAGAUUAUACUAUGCAGAAUUAUUCUAUAUGACGGCUGCUGAAAGGAUACUUGUUUAAUGAAAAAAACCGCUUACUACUGACUGCUUUUUUAUUUAUUCCGCUAUAUCAGUACCCUGGCUGCUAUACUUAAAGGUAGAGCCCUGGAUGGAAAGGGAGCAAAUCAGCGUGCGGCACCUCUGGCGCUGCGUCAGUUUACAGCAGCUCUGUGUUGCGGUGCUCAGCCUUUACUGGACUGGGUCCAGCGUCCUUGGCUGAUUCCAGAGGUGGGAAUCAACUUUUAAAUAAGUAAUCAAGUCCAGAAAGUGCUCUCCUUGCCAUUUGCCGAAGUGGGGCCUACGGCCUUCUCAUGAGCAGCUGGUUUUCCUCGUCAUCUGAGGUCUUCCCUGAUGCGCAUAAAAUUAGUUGCCUGAUUAGCCCUCGUAAAAUCUGCGUGUUAAUCCCAUGUGUGUCACUGCAUUCUGCCUGCAAGAGCUGCUGAUGUGGAUUCUCAUACCGCUGAAGUGUACUUGUCAGGAGAGCAUUCUGGGUUUUCUCUCCAACGAAUACGUGGCCAUUUUUAUAACAGAAAAUGAAAGUCAAAUAUGUAAAACGAAAAAUGUAUGAAGUGAGUGAGAAAUUCAAACCCUGAGCUCAUCUGCCAAACUUCUGACAUCUGUCUGGUCUCAGGUCUCUCUCUGGACAACA
Non-coding RNA from Struthio camelus australis, 4938 nucleotides. NCBI's taxonomy places the organism in Eukaryota, Metazoa, Chordata, Aves, Struthioniformes, Struthionidae. The record is from RefSeq and is a predicted model, not a curated record.